AUUGAACGCUGGCGGCAGGCCUAACACAUGCAAGUCGAACGAGUGGCGGACGGGUGAGUAAUGUCUGGGAAACUGCCUGAUGGAGGGGGAUAACUACUGGACACGGUAGCUAAUACCGCAUACAAUCAGAUGUGCCCAGAUGGGGUUAGCUAGUUGGUGGGGUAACGGCUCACCAAGGCGACGAUCCCUAGCUGGUCUGAGAGGAGGACCAGCCACACUGGAACUGGGACAUGGUUCAGGCUUCGAAGGGAGGCAGCAGUGGGGAAUAUUGAACAAUGGGCGCAAGCCUGAUGCAGCCAUGCCGCGGGUAUGAAGAAGGCCUUCGGGUUGUAAAGUACUUUCAGCGGGGAGGCGUUACCCGCAGAAGAAGCACCGGCUAACUCCGUGCCAGCAGCCGCGGUAAUUC
Molecule: ribosomal RNA, 406 nt
Filed under: uncultured bacterium
Lineage: Bacteria
Description: partial 16S ribosomal RNA
Rfam family: Bacterial small subunit ribosomal RNA
Source: RNAcentral